Molecule: long non-coding RNA, 691 nt
Filed under: Bemisia tabaci
Lineage: Eukaryota; Metazoa; Arthropoda; Insecta; Hemiptera; Aleyrodidae
Description: lncRNA ENSSSA1NGG009496
Source: RNAcentral
CGAUGAUGGUUUUUACGCAACGGGUUUUUCUGCGACGGGGAUUCCCAGACGCAAAACGUCCCCUCCAUUUAAAGAGAAAAAUAAGUCAAGCUAGAAAAUCUGGGAAAGCCUCUUUCCCGUCAAUUCAGUUAUUCCUCUACACGGGCACGGUCGGGAUCAACUGAGACUUGGGUGUGUAAAGGAUUGGAAACUGGUAGAGACCCAAGAACCUGAUGAAAUGAUUGGAACCCAAGGUCUACUUUUAACCGUUUUCGUUGCCGCGACGUUGGCAGCUAUUCCUAACCAAAUUACUGUUCAUAAUCAUGUUGACCCCUGUCCUGGAGGCAAUUACCCCACAAUCAAGACUUUCCCAGCCAAUGGAGCCCAGCAAAAUCUCAACAAAGGUCAGUCUGCUACUUACAAUGGAGGAGCAGUGAGCCCUCACGUGGGUUUUGGAAUACAAGAGAACGGGCAGUAUUGUCGCAACGGAGCAAAUCCUGCUGGCUGCUGGAAUCCAGAUAAUGCUGGUCUUCAGGUUGUAUGGAAUAGUAACAACUGCGGGGCCAUCUCCACGAAUGGUCCAUUCUACUGCGGGAACAACGCACCGGACGCUCGGGAAAUCGUCAACGUUGCCGCCUCGGGAAACUGGCCAAACUGCGUUCUGACCCUCACCCGCAAGGGUGGAGCCCGCGGAUGUCAGUACAAAUGCUAA